Molecule: ribosomal RNA, 492 nt
Filed under: uncultured bacterium
Lineage: Bacteria
Description: bacterial SSU rRNA
Rfam family: Bacterial small subunit ribosomal RNA
Source: RNAcentral
AUUGAACGCUGGCGGAAUGCUUUACACAUGCAAGUCGAACGGCAGCACGGGGCAACCUGGUGGCGAGUGGCGAACGGGUGAGUAAUACAUCGGAACGUGCCCAAUCGUGGGGGAUAACGUAGCGAAAGUUACGCUAAUACCGCAUACGAUCUACGGAUGAAAGCGGGGGAUCGCAAGACCUCGCGCGAAUGGAGCGGCCGAUGUCAGAUUAGGUAGUUGGUGGGGUAAAGGCUCACCAAGCCAACGAUCUGUAGCUGGUCUGAGAGGACGACCAGCCACACUGGAACUGAGACACGGUCCAGACUCCUACGGGAGCAGCAGCAGGGAAUCUUGGGCAAUGGGCGAAAGCCUGACCCAGCGACGCCGCGUGGAGGAAGAAGUCCUUCGGGGCGUAAACGUCCUGGACUGGGGACGAGGAAGGACGGUACCCGACGUAGAAAGGGACGGCGUAACUAACGUGCCCAGCGACGCCGCGGUAAGACGUAACUCUAU